GACGAACGCUGGCGGCGUGCUUAACACAUGCAAGUCGAACGGAAAGGCCCUGCUUUUGUGGGUGGCUCGAGUGGCGAACGGGUGAGUAACACGGGAGUAACCUGCCCUUGACUUUGGGAUAACUUCAGGAAACUGGGGCUAAUACCGGAUAGGAGCUCCUGCUGCAUGGUGGGGGUUGGAAAGUUUCGGCGGUUGGGGAUGGACUCGCGGCUUAUCAGCUUGUUGGUGGGGUAGUGGCUUACCAAGGCUUUGACGGGUAGCCGGCCUGAGAGGGUGACCGGCCACAUUGGGACUGAGAUACGGCCCAGACUCCUACGGGAGGCAGCAGUGGGGAAUAUUGCACAAUGGGCGGAAGCCUGAUGCAGCAACGCCGCGUGCGGGAUGACGGCCUUCGGGUUGUAAACCGCUUUCGCCUGUGACGAAGCGUGAGUGACGGUAAUGGGUAAAGAAGCACCGGCUAACUACGUG
This 468-nucleotide ribosomal RNA is filed under the name uncultured bacterium. RNAcentral describes it as "partial 16S ribosomal RNA". It matches the Rfam family "Bacterial small subunit ribosomal RNA", at positions 28 to 507 of the family's 1533-position model. The record is from RNAcentral.